This 1243-nucleotide long non-coding RNA is filed under the name Cottoperca gobio. Its description in RNAcentral is "lncRNA (ENSCGOG00000022396.1)". The record is from RNAcentral. Lineage: Eukaryota; Metazoa; Chordata; Actinopteri; Perciformes; Bovichtidae.
UCAUUUCUCUGCACUUUCUAUCCUAAGAAACAACUUUUGGUUCAUGGAAAAGUUUUCUGUCUCUUUUCUUUUGGGGUUUUUUUUUUUCCAGAUUGAUCUUUUUUGUUGUUUCUGUAUUUCUUUUUUUUUGGCUGAAGAUUAUCUAUUUUCGUCCUCUUUUGAAGAUCCCGGACUUAACAACACUCAGGCUACAUAGCCCACACAUGCUCGCUCUGCUGGACGGACGCACCAUUUUGUCUACAGGUUCCCAGCAUUGACUCUGUCUGACAUCAGCAGUCAUGUGGUAGCAAAGGAGCAGGUGGGUUAUAUGACAGUGAGUGUGGAGUAAUAUGUUCAAUAAUAAUAAUAACAAGAAGAAGAAGAAGAAGAAGAAGAAGAAGAAGAAGAAGAAGAAGAAGAAGAAGAAGAAGAAGAAGAGGAACUGACACUGUUCUGAUGAAGGCUCUCUGUUCUCAACAACACUUAAGGGAUUUAUUCCUUUUUAAAUGUCACUAUUUCAACUGCAAGAUUAUUUCAAAAUUCAUACAUUUUAUUCAUAUGGUGUAAUAAUAUUAGUACACAUGAGCAACUCUCUCAAAUAUGUGAUGUCAUCAAGUAUAAAGUCUGGCUCAGAGACAAUGAAUGAGGAAAGAUGUUAGAGAUGAUACUAACAGCACCCAUGGGAAUGUUCUGAAUACAUGUAUGUAUGUAUUUUCUGUUUCAGAGGUGAUAACUCUACAACAAUAAAGAACAUUUGGGUAUGAAAAUAGCAAAAAACACAUUCUGUGUGUCCACAAAAGUCUUCCAUUCAUUGUCUAUGGAGCAUCUCCAGAAUCUAUAUUACUCACAGGUUGGAUAAAAUAAUGACUAAGCUGUCCGAGGCCGAUGUUUGAAUUCUUAAUGUAGGUGGUGUUCCUCUUCAAGAAAUGUAAAAACACAUUGUUUUAGCAGGAGACCUAUUAGGUCUGAGCUGUACUCCAGUGGAAGUACAGUGGUGAGCAUUGCUGCUGAUGCACUUAUCGACAAGGAACUCAAGGUCGAGUGCAACGCCGCCUCAUAAAAAUUACACGAGUAGUAAAAGGGCAAAGGGCUAUGGGUUAGGUGCCUGUAGCAGUUUCCUUUGACCACAAAAUGUUCUUGUAGGAGGAAAGUGCGGAAAGAAAAAGGAUGAGUAAAGGAGAAAUGCACGUUUUUAAAGUGCAUUUAGAAUUAGUACAUAGAGUUACUGUUGAAUUAAUCAUUUGAAAAGGAAAAAAGGAAAAAC